ACGUAGGGGGCAAGCGUUGUCCGGAUUUACUGGGUGUAAAGGGUGCUCAGGCGGGUUUGUAAGUCAGUGGUGAAAUCCCGGGGCUUAACUCCGGAACUGCCAUAGAAACUGCAAGCCUAGAGUACGGAAGAGGUUGAUGGAAUAUCUGGUGUAGCAGUGAAAUGCGUAGAUAUCAGAUAGAACACCAAUGGCGAAGGCAGUCAACUGGUCCGUUACUGACGCUAAAGCACGAAAGUGUGGGGAGCGAACAG
Molecule: ribosomal RNA, 251 nt
Filed under: uncultured prokaryote
Description: partial 16S rRNA
Rfam family: Bacterial small subunit ribosomal RNA
Source: RNAcentral